Long non-coding RNA from Alligator mississippiensis (American alligator), 715 nucleotides. RefSeq lists it as uncharacterized. The transcript is spliced from 5 exons. The record is from RefSeq and is a predicted model, not a curated record. NCBI's taxonomy places the organism in Eukaryota, Metazoa, Chordata, Crocodylia, Alligatoridae.
CCUCUGGCAACUAGCUCGGUACAAGAUCUGACAGAUUAUUGCAAUCUGGAGGCCAGUUUAUUCAGAGUGGAGGUAUCUAUAUGAGACAAUCCAAGAACUAGCUUCUUUCUAAUCAGAGUUAAUCUUGGGUAAAAGGAGAUAAAUUGGGCUUUGACUUUUCACACUAAAAAGCCAGAAUGUAUUACAUUUGUUAAAAUAUGCGUGGCACAUUAACUUUAGUCCAGAAAAAACAUAGCUCAUUUUAAAUAAAUAUGUGCACAGUUUCAGCAAGAGGAUGAUGAAGAUUUCUCAGUUCUUUGUACUUCGAAAAAGAAAAAAAUGAAAAGCGUCUUACUCUUGGUGACUAUGUGUAGGCUCAUACCAGAUUAUUCUGAUUGCUCAAGUUGUCAUCUUUCUUGCAAACAACUUCCAGGGACAAAAUCAAGAAAUGUCUGGAAAGAAAUAUCUCAUCAUCUUCCAUCAAAGUGGAACGAAGUUGCCUAUACAUGAAUCGCCCUGUGACUAUCUGGGUAUCUGUGAUUUACUCCGCUGAGAGCUGUGUGAAAACAAAGAAUAUCUCCUUUAUACCAAGCAAAGCAGUGAAAUGUGGUUCACCCUCCAACAUAAAUGCUCACCAAGUAUCAAACAAAUUUGUAAUUAAGUGGGACCCACCAAAAACUUAUAUGCAAUAUGAACUGCGAUAUAAGGAGGUGCUUCCAGCAUCUUCAGAAUGGAU